GGGGGUGUCCUGGUUUCGACGGGGCAGUACCAAAGAGCUUUCGGGCGUGCCUGGGUUGGUCGGACGGCCCAGUAAAAAUCCGACCAAACUAUGAAUGCUGAUUCUUAUGAACCAGCUGCUAUGGCUGCCUAAUAGGCAACAACCAAGCAUGAGGCGCUAGUGCCAAGAAACAGAAUCUAGCAAAGCUGAUGAGUGACCAGUCGAAACGUGCUCCGAGGCUGCCGGGUCUCCUCGUUAAAUUUUCACCGGGUUUUGUCGUUUUCACAAAAACGGACAGUCUUGUCAGCUGACCAUAACCGCUGACUACGCACGUAGGCCGGGUUCCGAGGUUGUUCCGGACGCGAGUUCGAUUCUCGCCACCUCCACCA
This 368-nucleotide transfer-messenger RNA is filed under the name Bacteriovoracaceae. Its description in RNAcentral is "GCA-2712005 sp002712005 Standard tmRNA". It matches the Rfam family "transfer-messenger RNA". From Rfam's summary of the family: Bacterial tmRNA, also known as 10Sa RNA or SsrA, is named for its dual tRNA and mRNA-like properties. Its role is to liberate the mRNA from a stalled ribosome. Lineage: Bacteria; Pseudomonadati; Bdellovibrionota; Bacteriovoracia; Bacteriovoracales. RNAcentral also lists the same sequence under 2 other names. The record is from RNAcentral.